UUUAAAGCAACAUUAUUUACAACAUUCUCACUUUUGUACUCUUUCUCAACAUCAAUAUUAAGAAAUAAGGUGUAGUUGAAUGGUUGAAGUUCCUCUUUUUUCUCCAUUAGUUGGUCAUAAUCCACAACAAUUGGUAAUUGGGCUUCAGAGGCCUCAAUCUUUUGUUUAAGUAAGCCUCUAAGUCAUGAAUAUCUGAGCUAAAUUUAUCAAUUUUUUGUGUGAGCUCAACUCUUUCUUCGAUCAGAUGGAUUGACAGGUCCAACUAUCGGAAGGAGUAAUGUCAUUUGUUCAUAUAUCUCAAUAUGAGUUUUUAAGGCAAAAACACAGGUAACUAGGAUUGACAUCCAAUGCACCAUUGAUCCAAUGAGCAGUUCAGAGGCAGUUAGUGAGCCUACUUGCUUUCUAGAGGAUCCAUAUUCAUUUUUCAGUAUUAGUUUUGGUUCAUUAGGAUGUUUUGAGGUUUUCCCAACAUCUAUCUUAGUUGUUUUUAGAGGAUUCAUAGACAGUUAGUUCUUAAGUCUUUUCUUUGUCAUUAUUCCAUGUUGAGCCUUGAGUUUGCCUUAAUAGCCAGUUGAAUGUUCUUUGAUAACGUUCCAAUUUAUUAUAUGAACUUAUCUUGUUGAGUUUAAGUUUUCUGUUGAGUAAGUAAGUCAGGACAAGGGUUCACUUGGGGCCAACAAUGUUUCUCGAGUGCUAGCCACACCCAGGGUAUAGGUUCGGGCAUGACAAACAUGGUAUCAGAGCGGAGAGUUGAAGAGUCCUAGGGAGUCUAUGAAGUCGUGUUUAUAGAGUCCUAGUUAUCAUUGUGGAGCGCGCCACAUCUAUAAUUAGGAGGCUGCAAUAUUUAGGAACUCCUUCACUUUUUCAUACUCAUUCAUGCGUUAGAGUUUAGUCUUUACAAAGUUUUCUUCUAACUCAUGUUUGUGUGUGUUCCUAGAUAAUCAUGCCUCGACAAAGAGUUGUUUGAGGUCUUCUUGCUAGGAUAGAUGUUGAGGAACAAGGGGUAACUAAUGCAGUUGAAGUGCGGCCCCAAGGAGAGGUCACCAAUGUUAAAUUCAGUGAAGCUAUCUGGAUGUUAAAUCAAGUUGUGACUCAUCAAGUUGGAUAGAGACAUAAUCGACAGGAAGUGGCUGAUACUUUAAGGAUCCAUGAGUUUGUAAGGAUGAAUCAACCAAGCUUCAUAGGUUCAAGUGUCAUAGAGGAUCUAGAGAACUUUGUUGAAGUACUUUAGAAAUUUUUUGAGAUAUUGCAUUUUUUUGAUGUUGGAGGGUGGGACUAGCUGCAUACCAAAUAAAGGGUGUCACUAGAAUCUGCUUCGACCAAUGGAAAAAGAAUAGGGUUAAAGAUGCAUUAAUAUUAAGUUGGAAUGUGUUUGAGAGUGAUUUCACGGGGCGUUUCCUUCCCCAUGAGUCGCGAGAGGAAAGGAUAAGAGAAAAUACCACCCUUAAGCUAGAGUCUAUUAUUUUAAUAAGUACAGUCUGAAGUUCACACUACUUUCUCGCUAUAUUUUGGAGGUGGUUGCUGAUACGAGGAGUAGAAUGAAUUUUUUUAUUGCUGGGUUGUCUCAUCAGUCAAGCAAGGAAGGCAAGAAAUCUAUGAUGAUAGGGGAUAUGGACAUGGCAAGACUAAUGAUCCGUGUGCAAUAAGUUGAGGAGGAUAAGAUGAAGAAUAAAAAGAUUUUCAGAAUGAGAGAGCUGAGACAUUAAGAAAUGAGUUCAGCAAACAAAAUAGAAAUGGCAACUUCUCUUCUUUCCAACCAAAAUCAAAGGGACCUUCUCCAUCAUAUGCGAGAGCACCUACACCUAGUAAUAAAAGUGAGUAUAAUAGUCAAAAGUUCAUAGCUAAGUCUGCCUAUUCUGAGGGUAGUAUGACGGAAAGGGGUCGUAAGCCUCCUGCCUGCACUAAGUGUGGUAGGAACCACCUAGGUACUUGUUGUAAGGGCUCUACCGGUUGUUUCAAGUGUUCCCACAAUGGGCAGUUCAUGUGAGAGUGCCCAAAGAACAUGCAGGUUAAAUUUAUGGGGGCAAUAAAGACAAAUCUUCUUUAGUUACUCCACCAGUCAGAGUUACACCUAGAGGAUCUACUUCAGAUACUAGCGGUGGGACAACCCACUUUUAUGAUAUCAAUAGUCGCCAAGGGAAAGAGGAUUCUCUAGAUGUUGACACUUGUAUGAUCCAAGUAUUUACUUUUGAUGUUUACUCUUUGCUAGACCCAGGAGCAUGUUUAUCUUUUGUAACCCCUUAUGUCGCAAAUAAGUGAUGUUCUUAUUGAGAAACUGUCUGAGCCCUUCAAUGUUUCUAGGCCUAGUAGGGAGUUCAUUCUAGCAGAAAGAGUCUAUCAUGAUUGUCCCAUUUUCAUCAAUCACAAAGAGACCAUAACUAAUUUAAUUGAUUUAUACAUAUUAGAUUUUGACAUUAUUCUAGGUAUGAAUUGGCUUCAUACAUGCUAUGCGUCAAUAGAUUGUAGAACUUGAGUUGUGUAGCCCCAAAUUCCAUAUGAGCUAGUCUUAGAGUGGAAAAUUAGUUCAACAGUGCCUAAGGGUCCUUUUAUUUCGUACCUUUAAGGCAAGGAAUUUAUUUUCUAAGGGGUGUGUCUAUCACUUAGUCCGAGUUAAUGACUCAAGUGUUGAGGUACCUCUUGUUCCGUCAGUUUCAGUAGUAAAAGAGUUUGUAGAACUCUUCCUUGAUGAUCUUCCCAAAGUCCAUCCUGAGAAAGAAAUAUACUUUGGUAUAUACAUUCUUCCGUGUACUCUUCCUAUCUCUAUUUCGCUAUCUAGGAUGGCACUAUCAAAGUUGAAAGAUCUUAAAGAACAGUUGAAAGAUCUCCUAGAUAAAGGUUUCAUUCAACCAAGUGUCUCACCUUGGAGCGAACGUGUCUUGUUUGCAAGAAAUAAAGAUGGUUCCCUUAGGAUGUGUAUAGAUUACCAUCAAGAACAAGUAUCCUCUUCCGAGAAUUGAUUAUUUUUUCAAUCAUCUUCAGGGUGCCACCCGUUUUUUAAAUAUAGACCUCAAAUCUGGCUAGCAUCAGUUAAGAGCAAGGGAAUGUGAUAUUCCAGAGACAGUUUUCAGAACUCAAUAUGGUCAUUAUGAGUUUUUGGCCAUGUCCUUUGGUUUGACCAAUGCGCCUAGAACAUUCAUGGAGCUUAUGAAUAAAUUAUACAAGCCUACUUAGAUAUGUUUGUUAUCAUCUUCAUUAAUGGCAUUCUAUUCUAUUCGAGAAACAAAGAAGAUCAUGCUAGCCAUCUCUAAAUAACUCUUUAGACUUUUACAAAUAAAGAAUUAUAUGAUAAUUUCUCUAAAUGUGAGUUUUCGAUUAAGUAUGUGGUGUUCUUGAGCCACAAUGUCCGGUGAUGGAAUUAGAGUUGUUACCUUAAAGAUAGAAAAAGCGCAAAGUUGUCCUAGAACCACCUUUCCGAAUGAUAUUAGGAGUUUCUUGGGCUUGUCUGACUACUAUAGAAGGUUGGUAGAGGGGUUCUCAUUUUAUUUUAUCCCAUUUGACCAGUUGAAUCAGAAGACAAUUAAGUUUUCAUGGUCUGAAGCUUGUGAGAAAAGCUUUCAGGAAUUGAAAAAGAGGUUGACUACUACCCAAUUUUGACCUUAGAGAAAAAUACUCAAUUGUGAUGAAUUGUGAUGCAUCUAGAGUUGGAUUGGGUUGUGUAUUAAUUCAGAAUGACAAAGUUAUAACUUAUGCCUCCAGAUAGUUAAAAGUUAAUGAGAAGAACUACCCAACCCAUGACUUAGAGUUGGCUGCCGUAGUUUUUGUUUUGGAAAUAUGACACCAUUACCCUUAUAGUGUAUAUGUGGAUGUGUUUACUGAUCACAAGAAUCUUCAGUAUGUGUUCAUUCAUAAAAUGAGCUUAACCUCAGAUAAAAGAGGCGUUUAGAAUUACUACAGGAUUAUGAUAUGAGUAUUCCUUAUCACCCGGUAAAGCUAAUAUUGUUGUUGAUUCCCCAAGCAAGUUGUCUAUGGGUAGUUCCUCCCAUAUUGAGGAAGAUAAGAAAGAGAAAAAAGGUGCAUAGACUUGCACAAUUAGGAUUUUGAUGAAUCAAUUCCAUAGAAGGUGGAGUAGUGGUGAUGAAUGACUGAAUCCUCGUUAGUGUAAGAGUAAAAUAGAAGCAAGACCAAAAUCCUUUAUUGCUUGAAUUAAAGUCAAAUGUUCAUAAGCAAAAAAUAUUAGCUUUUGAACAAGGGGGAUAUAGUGUAUUAAGGUAUCAAGGUAGAUUGUGUGUACCAAUAGUGGAUGGACUCCCAAAUAGGAUCAUGGUGGAAGUUCAUAGCCCCAGAUAUUCCAUUCAUCCGGGUUCCCUUAAGAUGUACCAUGACUUGAGAGAAGUCUAUUAGUGGAGUAGAAAAAAUUGCAUUGGAUGUUGGGUGGUUGAAAUGAAUGGUUGCAUAUUCAACCUUGGCCUAGUAAGAGUAAUCUCGUUCGAUAAGGAAUGUUUCCAAGAGGGAGAUACUGUAACAUCUCACAAUUUGAAAUAGCUAAGAAGAACUUAAGGAGUAGAAAUAGUUAUUUUUGGAAAUAAUAAAAAUCAGGGAAUUUGUCAAGUUUGGAAAAAGUGAGUUUUUGGUAAACUUGAAAUAGUCAUACCUCCUCGAUCAUGAUGAUUUAGGUUUAUUUCCAUAUAUGGUUGGUAAACUCUUGGAAUGAUCUUUCCAACGCCACUGAGUUUGCUAGAUUCCUAGUUCGUAUGAGCAAGUUAUGUGUUUUGGAAGUUAGGUUGUUCGAAUAAGGAAAGUCCAAUCUGGAUUUUAGGAGGAUAGUUUGGUCUUUUCUUUACCCUUUUAUUUUAAUUCAUUUUUGGCAAUUAAUUAGGGGUCUAAGAUGAACUUAGUCAGUUUAUUUUGGAGAAAGAGUUGGGGUUUUUAUAGAAGAGAAAAGAAGAUGGGAAAAGAGGAGAACGACGAAGAACGUUCAAAAUUCAUCAAUAUCGUCGAGAUUAGCUUGUGGAUUUUGUUAGGAGUGAGACAACAAAGGUAUGUGAGAUCACAUAGCAUUGGGUUAAUUUUCCACGUGCCAAUCAUGAUUCAUUUCAGCGAAUUUAAGUUCUUGAAAGCAUAGAAGUUGAAUUCUUGAUGAGUUUUGUUGAAGUUCUAUUAAAUUCUUGUUUCAUGGAAUUCAUUAGGCAGUUGUUGAUCCUAGUCCUUGAUAUUAGGUUCAAUUUUGAGUACAAUAUAAUGCAUGUUGAACAUUUAGUGGAUUCUGAGUGUUUGGUGAAAGAACCCAUGGGGUUUAGAGUUAAAAACAAAUAAAGAAGAUUUUGUCAAACGGAAUGUCGCACAACCUCCGCGUCGCGGAGCUAGUUCUCAGUUUUAGGAAUUUAAGUUUCGCAUCACGGAGGGUUCUGCGGGUUUCAAAGGUAAUUUUGAAUACUAAUUUCCAUCCUUCGAGUGACGGUUAUGUAGAGAAUGCGACUUACACUUUAAAGGAUUUGUUUACAAAAACAACUAUUAUUAUAGAAUUCAGAUGUCUCCUUAUAAAACUCUUUAUGUGCAAUGAUGUAGAUUUUCUUAUUCAAAGGAUUGAGUUUAUGAAGCUAUUGGUUUAUAGGACCUUACUUGGUUCAUCAAGCUGUGGAGAAAAUGAAGAUCAUUGAAGAGAGGUUGAAAAUAGCGUGGAGUCGUCAGAAAUCCAUUAUGGAUGUUAGGAGAUGAGACUUGGAGUUUGGGGUGGAUGAUUGGGUUUACUUGAAGGUGUCACCCAUGAAGGGUGUUAUGAUAUUUGUUUAGAAAGGGAAGCUUAGUCCCCGAUAUGUUGGUUCUUGUAGGAUAUCCAAGAGUCGACAAUGUAUCUUAUGAGUUGGAGCUACCGCCAGAGUUAAAAGCAGUCCAUCUAGUGUUUCAAAUUACUAUGUUGAAGAUGUGUAUGGGAAAUCCUUCGCUUAUUAUACCUACUGAGAAUAUUGGUAUUAAAGACAAUCUAUUUUAUGAGAAGAUGUCCGUUUAGAUCCUUGAUCGUUAGGUUCGCAAGUUGAACCAAGGAAGUAGCAUCAAUACAGUUCUUAUGAAGGAAUCUGUUCGUUAAGAAAGCUACCUAAGAGGCUGAGAAGGAGAUGACGAAGAGAUAUCGACAUAUCUUUGAUCAAGGAGAAAUUCCAAAUGAAGGUAAUAGCUCUUUUUUUCACUCUUUAAAUUGAAAUGCUAAGUGUGUUAAAUUGUAUGUUGGGUGUUUAAGUUGGGUGUAGAUGUUUCCACCCUCAUUUCUUCUUAGAGUAAUCUCAUUCGAAGAAGAAUAAUCCCUAGGGAAAGAUAUUGUAACACCUGAUCUUAGAGAGAUCUAAAUUUAGAAAGAGCUAAACCAAAAAUAGCUAAAUUUAGAAUUUUGCAAGUUAGUCUCCAAAUGUGAAUAUUGGGUCAACUUCAAACGAUCAUAACUUUCAGUUCAAAAUGAAUUGGGUGACCCACAAGGUAUCAAAUGAAAGAUCAUUGAGUCAUCUUUCAAACUCCGCCUAGUUUCCUAAAUUCCAAGUUUGGAUGAAAAACCGAUGGUCGUUUGAAUACAUCCUGUCCAUUUAAGUAAAUUCAUUCAUUUUAAGAAGCAGUAUUUUGGUCUUUUCCUUACCCCCACUAGACUAACUCGUUUUUGUUAACCUAUUAGGGUUCAAACUGAUUGGAAUCAAAUUUAGUACUUUCUAAACAUGGUUAAGGUUUUUGAGAGAAGUUCAAGAGGAAAAUGGGAGAAAAGCAUCAAUUCUUCAAAAUUCUUGCGAGCUUUGAGGAUUCUCACCAUGGAUUUGAUUAUUUCAAGGUAUGUAAGCUUUCAUAGUGCUGAGUUUGUUCCCCAUCACACCAAUCACAAGUUCCCUAAUUGAAUUCAUUCAUAAGACUUCAAGUAUUGAGUUUAUUGAUGUUUUGUUCUUCAUUCUUUAACAAUGAAAUUUUGUCAAGUUCUUCAUAUGAGUAUUUUGUGUUUGAAGGUUUUUAUUGAGGAAUUUUCAGUGGAUUCUUUUGCAAUUAUGUUGGGUUUAGGAAUCCAAAAGAGUUCGAGCGAAAUUGUUCGAUUCUAGGUGAAGUAAACAUGGAAUUAGAGAAAAACAUUUGUUAAAUUGAACACUAUGUUCAUCAAACCCAUCAAAGUUGUAAGGGAAUUGGUCAGUCCAAAUGACAUACAUACAAAUCCAUAAUGACCAUACCGAGUUCUGAACGUUCUUUUUGGAAUGUAACUAUCUCUGACUCUGAGCUUGUAACAUUCUAAAAAAUUAGUAAAACUAAGCUAGAGCCUAAUGUGUAAAAUAGUAGCCUAAUUGGGGUUUAAUGAAAAGGUUAGAGUCAUAAAAUAAUCUCCGGUAAUCAAUAUAAGUGUUUUUCGGUGCAAAAGUCAAGGCAUAAUCCCCAAAGACCAACCAUAAGUCCUUGAAGAGGACGUUGAGACAUCCCAAAAAGUUGUCAAGAGAUAGCCUACCCACGAAGGGCAUCCACGAUCCGUGAAUGGACCCACGCCCCGUAGGUGGAGGUCGUGGGUCAAGGAUCGACCUACCCUAUUUUUCUUAGUCCCAUACCAUGGACCUAAGGACUUUCAGGAUGGACAAUAGGUCCACCUAUGGUCCGUAGGUCACUAAACAUAUGUCAUUCCUGAAACUGCCAUUUGCCAGUUAAGGUUGCCGGUUCUUUUGUAAUUUCCUUUUCAAUAAAUUGUUAGGUGGUGUAUUUUUAAUCUUAUUUUAAAUACUGAUAUAAUUAUUUUUCCCACCUAAAAUAACCCAUCUAAAUCAUAAUUCAAAAAUCCCGAAAUCGAAUCAAUACCUCUCCAAUAUUUCUCUCACUAAAACCUCCAUUGAAGAAGAUGAAGAAGAAGUUGAAGUAUAGGGCUCAAAAACUCAUCUUUUACACCCAAAUUCAUGAAGAAUCUUCAUCUAAGGUGUUGGUUCCGGCGUUGGAUUUACUAUUAUCCGAAGCUUGUGGUAUGUCCUGAUGGAUCCGAGUACAAGUGCUAUGUUGUUGUUUCUUUUCUUUUAUUGUACUAAACUUUCAGAUUUCCUAUUGUAAGGGUUGUGACCAUAUUUAUUUCGAGACUUCAAUUGUAAUAGAUGGCUAAAUGAGACUAU
Molecule: long non-coding RNA, 8045 nt
Organism: Solanum pennellii
Lineage: Eukaryota; Viridiplantae; Streptophyta; Magnoliopsida; Solanales; Solanaceae
Exons: 4
Source: RefSeq, a predicted model, not a curated record